This is a long non-coding RNA of Oenanthe melanoleuca, 1356 nucleotides long. RefSeq lists it as uncharacterized. Lineage: Eukaryota; Metazoa; Chordata; Aves; Passeriformes; Muscicapidae. The transcript is spliced from 8 exons. The record is from RefSeq and is a predicted model, not a curated record.
AAAACUUCUAUUGCAUUGACCUGCUUCUAUCUCAUCUUUGGGUUGAUGGGGGAAAAAAAAACAAGCAAAAAGUAAUCAAACAAAAGAACUAAAAUAAAAUCAACCAAGGAUAUCAAGAGACAAGAUUGUGCUACCCUCAUUCUCUGUGGCUGCAGAUGAUGUUGGUACUGGACAGAACAGAAAAACCUUGAGGUUUGUCCUGGUCCUGCUGAAAAACAGUUUAUGUGUGGAAUUAAUUUUCUCUGUGCUGCUGAUUUGCAAACAAAGCCAAUUGCUAAUUUGACCCAUAGAAGAUGUCAGGAAACUGUGCUGAGAUAAAAUACUCAACUGCUUCCAAGUGUUUUGUUAUAAAUGCUGGAAGACAUCCACACAGUCAGGCUGCAAUCAGAUCCACAGAGAGUAGAGAAAAAUCUGUGCAUUCUCAUUCCUGAUGCUGGCAACCUUUGUUGUACUACCCCACACAACUAUCAGCUGUUUACAGAGGUGAUGACUGUUGGUGUGGUAGAUGGAUAAGGAAGAUGAGGAAGAAAAUGAUUCUUGACUAGCUGAAGUAAGAAAGAGUUUUCUUGACCUCUGGAUCCGUGAUACUACAGCUCUGCCUAUAGUUUCCACUCAAAACACAGUGAGAAGAACACAAACUCACAGCCAUUCAGGCCUGACAGUCCCCUGCAGUGAGAGCUCAGCACACAUCCACAGAGGCAAGUCCAGCACCUGAAAGAAAAAGAAAAGAACCAGAAGAAAGAGUGCCUCAGGGAGGGUGGAUAUUCCCAUGCAGAGCUGCUGCUUGAACUCCAGCUGUGCCAGGAACCAGCAGAGCUUCCAAGGAGCCUCAGCAGCACUGGGGCAGGGACAGCAAAGGGUGCACAUCCCUGCCUUCAGCACAGCUCCAGUGGGACCCACCUGGGAAAGCUUUCCAUCCCUUCUGCACUUCCAGCUGGCUCCCUGGAAACUCCCACCUUCAUCCAAACAAGACUUCAUCCCAGCCAAACCUCUGAUUUUAAGGCAUCUCUGCAGGCUGUUGGUUGGAUUCAGUAUCUGUGAGGAAAUGCCCCCUGCCACUCUCCAGAAGAGCCCUGGUCAUGCAGCAAGGGAAGCCUCAGGAUCUUCCUGCUCAUUUCUCCCUGCAAAAGGACUUGGCAAGAGCAAAUCUGCAGCUGGUUCAUACCUGUGACCCAGAGACUGGUUCAGUCAGUUGGAGCAGAGUCCUGGUACUGCCCAGGAUGUGGGUUCAAUUCUGCCACACACUGUGUACUUGAGAGUCAGAUUUAAGGAUUCUUCUCAACCCCACUAUAUUCUGUGAUCUGGAAAAAAAAAAAAAAUAUUUUCAGCUUUCAAUAAAAGUUCUAGUAAAAGCUU